GAAAUCAAGUUUCUGUUUGUCCUGGAAAAAUUGACGAUGACUAGAAAAGUGGGAAAUUAUGACAUGACAAGAGUGAAGAGAAUGAAAGACAUAUCCUUUGUGAUGACUAAUGGUCACCUCACUGAUGCUUCUGGCUGGCAGCACUUACCUAGACAUUGAUUCUGGAUGAGGUCCAGGUCUCUUCUACUGACAGCCACUUCGACGCUGACUGAGCUGUCUGACACCUUAGGCUUCUGUUCUGGAACUUCAGCCACUGGUGUUCACUGAUGUCCUAGAGAUACUGGAGAAGUGUGUGCUGCAACAUGCGAAUUAGAUCCAUACCCCUCUUGACUGGUGAAGGCCAAUUGGCAAGUGUUGGUGCCUUCUUUGGAGUUGCCUAUCAACACAUCCCUCAUGGAGAACAGGCUGACAACUUCUCUUUAAACAGCAAUUGUUAGACCUUUACUAAAGAAACCAGUUUUCAUGCUGACAGUUUCUCAUUGUCUCACUGGCUCAAUUUUUCCUUUUUCUGGGAAUAUUAUCUAGAAGAUUGCAAUCAGACAACAGCAUGUUGGGUCUUCAGGUCUUUUUGAACUCCAAUCAGUUUGAUUUAAAGCCUUAUAGCAGAGAGUGUGCUAAUUGUAUUGGUUGAUGAUCUGCCCUUGGCAAUGGACAAAGUUCACCAUGCUGAUUCUCUUGGAUCUGUUAGCUGCCUUUGUUGUUGAUAGCCUGCUGUCUCUAUAGCAGGGUAGAUGAAUCAUUCUUACAUGGACCACUUGAUGCUUUGUCAGAUGUAAUUCGGGGCAUUUAUUCCACUGUCCCAAGAUCACUCCUAUGGUGGAUUCCACAAGGUUCAAUUCUGGGACCACUCCUGUUCAAUCUGUCUGUGGGGCAGUAUAUAAACUGUAGUGUCUUUAAUACAUGGGUGACACUCUGUUCUAUGUUUCCAUCUCAUCUGACUUUUCCUGUGCAGCUGAGCAACUUAGUGUCUGAUACAAAUUGGGAUCUGCAUGGGGGAUACUUGUCUCAGGCUAAAUCCAGAUUACAAUGAAAUAAUGUUUGAUAAAGUGGGGAAGUAACAAAGAAAUGAGAAAAAAAUAUAUUGGUGUGUGAUGUGGUGAAAGGGCUGAAAGGGGUUAAGGUGGCCAGGUAGCCCAAUUAUCUCCACAAGCUGCACCUGGAGGAAGAGCCAGGGAUCAUGGAACUAACUGGAAGCAGGUUUAGCUGUGCAGAAACAGGUGGGGCCUAUAUAAAGCCAGGUAGCUGGGAUUAUAUGGGGGCCUCUGGGAAAGGCUACAGGAAAGAAUCACUAUGUGGGAAGAGGGAGGAAGGUUUUGGAGCUGGUACACUCAGAAGGAGAAGGGGAGUCAGGUGUGCUAGGAACCAGUCCAGGGAAGGUGCAGUGAAGGCUGAUAGAGGAAGGCCCAGAACUGCUGAGCUGAGGGUCCCUGGACUGGAACCCACAGUAGAGGGUGGGCCUGUGUUCCCCUACCAGCCACUGAGGGAGUGGCAGUAUGGGACAAUGGAAGGCUGGGUCAUGAAGAGGACUCUGUGGUUCCUGGGAUGAGAGAGGAGCUGCAGGCCUGUGAGAAAGACAGAACAAUGGCAUGCAAACUGUGGAAGGGCGUGUUGACCUCAAGAGCUAAUCCCAGAGUUACCUGGAGGAGUUGCUAGACCAGCUGAGAGUGGUGUACCCUGUCACAUGGGGCCACCAAUAUAGUGGUGCCAAAUGACUCCAUUUCUUACUCGGGUUUACUUUCCAUUUCUUACUCAGGGAGUUGUUCCAGCUGCUCCUGGGUGGGCAGGUGUAAGUGGUUGUCAAUAGUUUUAAUGUUUGCUUGGUAAGAAGGUUCUGACUUUUUUCUUUCAGAUGUUAUGCAAGCCUAUUUCACUUCCAGAUAGUAGUCCUUGUAGUAGUUCAACAUGGUGCCACACCUUAAAAAAAACAAUUCAGAAAUUACAGCUAGUGCAGAAUGAGCUACAGAUUUAAGUAGUGUUUACUAUGGAGUUCCUGCUGCACACAUGAACUGUGAUCUGCAUUGACUUCUAAAUGACUUCUAGGUGAAAUUUAAAGUGUUUGAUUCUUAAAAUUCCUACCUGGUUUGGGUCUUGGCUACCUCAGUGCCAUAUCACAUCUGUUCUGAUCAGUCUGGGUUUAAAAAGGAGGAGAAUGAUGGAAUGUGCUUCCACAUUCUUUGGUUUACCAGAGUCCUUAUUUAGUGACCUCCAGAUCACUCUUCAAAGCUUAAACAUUCUCUCAGGCUACCUGGAUGUGAGGAUGGGUUGAGCAUAUAGGAUUUUGUGGUGUAACAGUGAGUUGGAAGGGGUUUUAGUUUUGGAGAUUGGAACAAUUUGUCUGUUCUCUUCUAAAAAAGACUAUUUUGUUUUUGUACGGUAAAUUCAGCCUGAGGUUUGGCUAAGGGCAUUUGCAAUAAAUGCAGUGUUUCUUAAAGUCAUAGUUUCACCUCAAAAGGUGUCAGAUUGAUGGCAUUGGAGAUUAAAGUAAUCUGUUACUUCACAGACUAGCUACUGGACAGGCAGCAAGCUUCUCUACACUGCCUUACCAAUAUCCUGUAAGACUGAUCUUGAAAGGCCCCAUCUCUGUAAAUGAGAGAAUUCAAUCUCUGCUCCUGCUCAGUCUUUGGCCUUUCUGCUGACAACACCAACAGCCAAACACCAAUUAUGAUGAUGAUUGUUUGGGGAAAAAUACUUCUCCAGUAGGCAUUGGACUAAGUUCAACUUCAUUUCACACAGCAGUAUUGAACAGACAUGAGAUUGUUGGCCCCUGACCAUUAAAUAGUACAAAUGGUACCUAGAAUUGUUAUACCUUCUAUAUCCUGUCCUCCCUGCCCCACCCCCCAAUCCAAACAAUUAAACCUAUGCAGCGUGAUUCUGAGACUCCCUAAAUUCCUUGUAUCUUUAGUCAUAAGGUUAAUAAUACAAGUUUGUGUUGUGUAGAAAUAUGGCACUAUUAAGCAGCAUAUUGCAUUAGAGAACCUCACUGUACAAUGAGUUAAAAAUUUCAAGGUAAAUGUUUUACAAAAAAUACAUCAGAGGUCGGCAACCUUUGGCACGUGGCCUGCCAGGGUAA
Non-coding RNA from Chrysemys picta bellii (western painted turtle), 3070 nucleotides. The record is from RefSeq and is a predicted model, not a curated record. Lineage: Eukaryota; Metazoa; Chordata; Testudines; Emydidae.